GGAAAACGGAUUUGGCACCGGUUCAACACAAACCGGUGAGAAAAGCCUAUUUACAACCGGUUCGAACCGGUGCCCAAUUUAAACAAAAAAAUCCGCCUUAUAGCUUCUUCUUCCUUCAGUUCGUUUAAUUAUUUCGCAUUCCCCUAAUCCCCUGCUUUCCCAAUUGCUCUUUUUCUCGCCUACGACCCUAACUGCAACUUCAAUUAUUCUUCCUCUCUCGUUCUCGCCUACGACCCUCACCAUUGCUCUCCUUUGCUGUCCUCCAUUGAAGCUCAUUCUGGGUUUCUCACCUCCAUUGCCGCGCAACUCUUCUCUUUCUCUCCAUAACUCUCCUCCAUUGAAGCGCAUUCUGUCGAGCUUUCUGACCUCCAUUGAAGCGCAUUUUUAGCUUUCCAACUCCAUUGUAGCAGCUUCGAGGUAUCUGUAAAAGGUACCAGUGAUGAGGCUGAAGCUGCAAAAGUUGCACGCUCUGUAGCAUCUUCUUCUCUUGUCAAGGCUGCUGUGUACGGACGAGAUCCGAACUGGGGACGUAUUGCCUGUGCUGCUGGCUAUGCAACAGUCCCUUUCAACUUAAGCAAACUUCUAAUAUCACUCGGAGACAUUCUGCUAAUGGAUGAUGGACAGCCCCUUCCAUUCGAUCGGGCGGCUGCCAGUAGUUACCUUCAGAGAGCUGGGGAGGAACACGGUACUGUUGAAAUAUGCAUCUCAGUGGGUAAGUUGAGCAUCAGAGCAUCUAUCUAAAUUUGCACAUGACUUAUUUUUUUUUUUAUGAAAUUGAAUUGGUGAUACGGGGGAAGGAAAUAUCGUAGCUAUUCCUGUUCCCUUCGAUUGAACACAGACAUUAGUUUACAAAUUUGGAUAUAUCUUUGGUGUCAUAAAGUUGAGAUCCAGGUUUGAUAUUCAAUUCCAUCCUUUUGGGCUUUAUGGGGCAUCACUUCACAUGACUUUAGUGUUGGAAGGGUUCAAGCCACUUGUUCCUCUAGUCAUUUCCUCUUAUACAUGUAAUUCUGGAGUUCAUUCAAGUUAUUGAUGUA
Long non-coding RNA from Chenopodium quinoa (quinoa), 1034 nucleotides. RefSeq lists it as uncharacterized. The transcript is spliced from 4 exons. Lineage: Eukaryota; Viridiplantae; Streptophyta; Magnoliopsida; Caryophyllales; Amaranthaceae. The record is from RefSeq and is a predicted model, not a curated record.